This 1553-nucleotide long non-coding RNA is filed under the name Citrus x clementina. RNAcentral describes it as "Citrus clementina (C. clementina) long non-coding RNA (CCLE_LNC005424)". The record is from RNAcentral. Lineage: Eukaryota; Viridiplantae; Streptophyta; Magnoliopsida; Sapindales; Rutaceae.
UGUGAUUAAGAAAACAAUCAAAUUUCGAUGACUUUUUAAUAACUGUGUUUGAAUUAGUUUCUUUUUCUUUCUAAGUUCAUAAUCAAAUAAGAAAAAAACGGAUUGAAGAAGUGUUAUCAUCAUCGUCAUUGUGAUCAUCAUCUUUUAAUCCUUAUCUAGUUAUUAAUAUAUUUUAAUUUUUAUCCAAUUCAAGUUGUUUGGUUGGAGAUCUACUUGAACUUUAAUUUUGUUAAGGAGAUUGCCAAUUUCUUAUGUUGAAGUUAUAUAUACCCUUACAUUUAUCCUUUAUUAUUUUCAUAAUAACCAAUAACCUUUUUGUUAUCAUAAUUUUACAAUAUUAUUCUUAUUUUUAAAUAUACUUUUAUGUUAACAUAAAUGUGUCCAUAACAUUGAUGAUAACAAAUUGGAUAACACUGUUGGAGCCUUUAAAACUGAUUAAUUUUUAGGUUGUAUAAAGUUUUAGACAAGAAUAAGAUUAUGAAAAUAAACAGAUAACAAUUAAUCCUAAGUCGGCAAACUGUUUUUAUAAGGAAGAUUUAUAAUUUUGAUUUUAGAAGAUAAUGGUGAACCGUUUAUUAGAAAAUGGUUAACCAACAAAUUCGAGAUAGCAAUUUAAGUGAAAAUGGCGAACCGAUUACUGGAAACGAUUAGCUGAUAUCUCUUUGCAGGGUUACUAGAAUUAAUUAGCAAACCGAUAACUAGUAAAUGGUAAGCAGACUUCGAACAUAUUAACUUUUGGAAUUAAACAGUGAAUUGACAGCUCCAAACAGUGAACUGACUAUUCAAAUUUAAGUAUAACAGUAAUUUAUACAAGUCAAAACGGCAAUCCAACUUCUGAUUAUCGGCGAUCCAAUUAUACUUAGAAAGUUAACAACGGCUAGUUUUUUACUUUUACUAUAAAAAAACUCAAUCAAAAUGGAUUCUACAAUUGGCAUUGAGCUUGUUCUUGCAUAUUUAAGCUAUAUUGAGUUCAAGUUUGUUUAUUCUUUCAUCAAGUCACACUUUGAACUUUCAUUUGUAAACAUAUACUUUGUGUGAGGAAAGAAGUGUGUAAUCUUUAUUUUCACUUCAAGAUUGAGUAAUUGUGAGUGUGGGAAACACUUGAGAUAAAGGGUUUGAGAUCCCUUAGAGUUGUAAAGGUUUAUUGACAAGUUGGAAGUAAAUUGUAAUCUUGUUAGAGCCUGGAGGUUGUAAGGUUUAGAUAGUGAAAUCUUCAAGCGUAGUGAGCCUUGAGGUUGUAAGGUUUAGAUAGUAAAAUCUUCAAGCGUAGUGAGCCUUGAGGUUGUAAGGUUUAGAUAGUAAAAUCCUCAAACGUAGUGAGCUUGGAGGCGUGGACGUAAGCAGGCUUUGCCGAACCACGUAAAAAUAUUGUGUUUGUUUCUCUUCUCUUCUCUCUAUAUGUUUAGAUUAUGAUUAUUUAUUCACUAGUUUUUUAAUUUCAUUGAAAAUUUGAAUUAGUUGUAGUGUGUUAAUCGCUUAAUAAUUUUGAAAACCCAAUUCACCCCCCUCUUGGAUUGCUUAGGUAUAAUUUCAUUUUAUUUGUAUUUAUUAGU